RNAcentral lists this ribosomal RNA (535 nucleotides) under uncultured delta proteobacterium. RNAcentral's name for it is "bacterial SSU rRNA". It matches the Rfam family "Bacterial small subunit ribosomal RNA", at positions 15 to 523 of the family's 1533-position model. Lineage: Bacteria; Deltaproteobacteria. The record is from RNAcentral.
GAUCCUGGCUCAGAACGAACGCUGGCGGCGUGCCUAACACAUGCAAGUCGUGCGAGAAAAGGGACUUCGGUCCCCGAGUAAAGCGGCGCAAGGGUGAGUAACGCGUGGGUAAUCUGCCCAAGAGAUCGGGACAACCUGGCGAAAGCCGGGCUAAUACCGGAUAAGCCCACGGGGGCUGCGGCCCCUGAGGGAAAAGGGUGCCCUCUCCAUGGAAGGUACCGCUCCUGGAUGAGCCCGCGUCCGAUUAGCUAGUUGGUGAGGUAACGGCUCACCAAGGCUGAGAUCGGUAGCUGGUCUGAGAGGACGAUCAGCCACACUGGGACUGAGACACGGCCCAGACUCCUACGGGAGGCAGCAGUGGGGAAUAUUGCGCAAUGGGGGAAACCCUGACGCAGCAACGCCGCGUGGGUGAUGAAGGCCUUCGGGUCGUAAAGCCCUGUCGGGUGGGACGAAUCGAUCGCGGGUGAACAAUCCGCGGUCCUGACGGUACCACUAAAGGAAGCACCGGCUAACUCCGUGCCAGCAGCCGCGGUAA